RNAcentral lists this non-coding RNA (52 nucleotides) under Trypanosoma brucei brucei. The record is from RNAcentral. Lineage: Eukaryota; Euglenozoa; Kinetoplastea; Trypanosomatida; Trypanosomatidae.
AAAUCAUAACAAUCUAUAAUAGACGAGCGUGAUAUUGUCAAUGAUAAUUAAU